GGAAGUGGUGGAUCGUGCGCUCAUUGUGGAGAGCGGCGCGGCGGAUGUCCAAGAGCAGCGAGAGGCUAGGGACAAGGGUAAGGCCAAGAGGCCUGCGGCUGAGGGUGCGAGCCAGACGCACUCUAGGAGGCCGCCGAAACAUCCGAGGAGCCAGCAGCAUGGACGCGGCUCAGCAGCGCAUCGAGGAGGAUCCGAUCGGCGCCGGCCUUCCCCGUGUGUGAUCUGCGGUGGCCCCCAUUACCCACCGCAGUGUCCACAGUGGGCGGGCAGGUGUUUCCAGUGUGGCCAGGAGGGC
RNAcentral lists this long non-coding RNA (295 nucleotides) under Ananas comosus (pineapple). RNAcentral describes it as "long non-coding RNA (ACOM_LNC035429)". Lineage: Eukaryota; Viridiplantae; Streptophyta; Magnoliopsida; Poales; Bromeliaceae. The record is from RNAcentral.